RNAcentral lists this long non-coding RNA (1085 nucleotides) under Nicotiana tabacum (common tobacco). RNAcentral describes it as "long non-coding RNA (NTAB_LNC008419)". The record is from RNAcentral. Lineage: Eukaryota; Viridiplantae; Streptophyta; Magnoliopsida; Solanales; Solanaceae.
UUGGUUUGGAACCAAAAACUUGGAAAUAGAAUCAUUGUCGUUCAAAACUCUUAGCUAACAAUUCUGUUCUGGUUUUGAAACCAAGAACAUUGAAGCAGAAUAUUUUCGUCCAAACAAAUUCAACUACUUAGCCAAAUUUGUUUUCCAAUUUCGUUCCUCAAGUUCAAAAGCGCAGAUGCUUAAAUUCGAUUUUUGGGUUCUAAAUUCAAUCCAUGGAGGUUUUCAAUGGGAUAAUUAUACGGAGUUGUUCCUACUCCAGGUAUGUUAAGGCCCUCCCUUCUUUCUUUUGGCAUAGUCCAACUUAUACUGAAGAAACGACCAAAUACACAGUUUCGAUAAAUUACUCUAUUCAUAAAANNNNNNNNNNNNNNNNNNNNNNNNNAAUUGGAAAAGUUUAUCCGGAAGGAAUAUCGAGAUUAUUAUAUAUUUUUCAUGCAUUUCACUCAUUUAUACAUGUGCAUUGACCAUGACCAUAUGGUGUUAUACACGUGUAUCUAUGUAAAUAUAUGUAUAUGAGAUAUGGGAAAAGGUUACGGCGUUAUAUAUCCACCACCACCUGAUCAGCUGAUAUAUGAUGAUGAUGUUGCCCAUAGUGGCUGAAAUAUGAUUCAAACGGCGUUAUAUACGCGUAUAUAUGUAUGCAUAUGUAUAUGGGACAUGAGAAGAGGUUAUGGCAUUAUAUACACACCACCACCUGAUCAGUUGGUAUAUCUUGAUGAUGUUGCCCACGGUGGCCGAGACGAUAUGAUGGGAUGAACUCAGUAGCUUGAUGAUAUUAUGUACACCCAAACCUAUGCAUGGCACGACAUUUAUACGCAUGUGCAUGAUAUUAUAAACGUUUCAAAAUUUACAGAGUUAUUUAGAUUUUAAGGUAUUUCUGUAUUCCAUGUUUCAUCUAUGUCUUUUACGUACUUAUUUACAUGCCUUACAUACUUAGUACAUUUUUCGUACUGAUGCCCUAUUUCACGGGGCCUGCGUUCCAUACCUGCAGGUGCAGGUAGGCAAACUGACGGUCCCCCUUCUUAGGAUCCCUGAUGAGCGAGAGUUGGCGUGCUCCACUUGAUCCGAAGCUGCUUUGAUUUUGG